Molecule: transfer RNA, 72 nt
Filed under: Paramuricea clavata
Lineage: Eukaryota; Metazoa; Cnidaria; Anthozoa; Malacalcyonacea; Plexauridae
Description: tRNA-Ser
Source: RNAcentral
GAACUCCAUAGCUCAGUUGGUUAGAGCACUGCACCGGAGCCGCAGGGCCACAGGUUCGAUUCCUGCAUUCCU